This 373-nucleotide ribosomal RNA is filed under the name uncultured bacterium. RNAcentral describes it as "bacterial SSU rRNA". It matches the Rfam family "Bacterial small subunit ribosomal RNA", at positions 28 to 400 of the family's 1533-position model. The record is from RNAcentral.
GACGAACGCUGGCGGCGUGCUUAACACAUGCAAGUCGAGCGGUAAGGCCCUUUCGGGGGUACGACGAGCGGCGAACGGGUGAGUAACACGUGGGUGACCUGCCCUUAGUUCUGGGAUAAGCCUGGGAAACUGGGUCUAAUACCGGAUAUGACUCCAUAACGCAUGUUGUGGGGUGGGAAAGCCUUGUGCGGCUAGGGAUGGGCCCGCGGCCUAUCAGCUUGUUGGUGGGGUGAUGGCCUACCAAGGCGACGACGGGUAGCCGGCCUGAGAGGGCGACCGGCCACACUGGGACUGAGACACGGCCCAGACUCCUACGGGAGGCAGCAGUGGGGAAUCUUGCGCAAUGGGCGAAAGCCUGACGCAGCGACGCCGC